This 1934-nucleotide ribosomal RNA is filed under the name uncultured Pseudomonadales bacterium HF0010_05E14. RNAcentral's name for it is "bacterial LSU rRNA". It matches the Rfam family "Bacterial large subunit ribosomal RNA", at positions 1 to 1958 of the family's 2925-position model. Lineage: Bacteria; Pseudomonadati; Pseudomonadota; Gammaproteobacteria; Pseudomonadales. The record is from RNAcentral.
CUGUAUGGUCAAGUGAAUAAGCGCAUACGGUGGAUGCCUUGGCAGUUAGAGGCGAUGAAGGACGUAGGAGCCUGCGAUAAGCUUCGGGGAGGUGGCAAGCAACCUUUGAUCCGGAGAUUUCCGAAUGGGGAAACCUAUCUACGAUAACGUAGAUAUUAUGUGCUGAAUACAUAGGCGCAUAAAGCGAACCCGGAGAACUGAAACAUCUAAGUACCCGGAGGAAAAGAAAUCAACCGAGAUUCCCUUAGUAGCGGCGAGCGAAAUGGGAUCAGCCUGCAAGUAAUAGCUUAAAAGUUAGAAGAACAGUCUGGAAAGUCUGGCAAUAUAGGGUGAUAGCCCCGUACUCGAAAACUUUUUUGUGGUACUAAGCUUGCGACAAGUAGGUCGGGACACGUGAUAUCUUGACUGAAUAUGGGGGGACCAUCCUCCAAGGCUAAAUACUACUAACUGACCGAUAGUGAACCAGUACCGUGAGGGAAAGGCGAAAAGAACCCCGGAGAGGGGAGUGAAAUAGAACCUGAAACCGUAUGCGUACAAGCAGUAGGAGCGGACUUGUUCCGUGACUGCGUACCUUUUGUAUAAUGGGUCAGCGACUUAUUUUCAGUGGCAAGGUUAACCGUUUAGGGUAGCCGUAGGGAAACCGAGUCUUAAUAGGGCGCCAUAGUCGCUGGGAAUAGACCCGAAACCGGGCGAUCUAUCCAUGGACAGGUUGAAGGUUGAGUAACAUCAACUGGAGGACCGAACCCACUAAUGUUGAAAAAUUAGGGGAUGAGCUGUGGAUCGGAGUGAAAGGCUAAUCAAGCCCGGAGAUAGCUGGUUCUCCUCGAAAGCUAUUUAGGUAGUGCCUCAUGUAUCACCACUGGGGGUAGAGCACUGUUUCGGCUAGGGGGUCAUACCGACUUACCAACCCGAUGCAAACUCCGAAUACCAGUGAGUGCAAUCAUGGGAGACACACGGCGGGUGCUAACGUUCGUCGUGGAGAGGGAAACAACCCAGACCGCCAGCUAAGGUCCCUAAUAUCAGUUAAGUGGGAAACGAUGUGGGAAGGCUCAGACAGCUAGGAAGUUGGCUUAGAAGCAGCCAUCUUUUAAAGAAAGCGUAAUAGCUCACUAGUCGAGUCGGCCUGCGCGGAAGAUUUAACGGGGCUAAACUGAUAACCGAAGCUGCGGACGCAUAUUUAUAUGCGUGGUAGAGGAGCGUUCUGUAGGCCGUUGAAGGUGUACUGAGAAGUAUGCUGGAGGUAUCAGAAGUGCGAAUGCUGACGUGAGUAACGAUAAAGCGGGUGAAAAACCCGCUCGCCGGAAGAUCAAGGUUUCCUGUCCAACGCUAAUCGGGACAGGGUUAGUCGGUACCUAAGGCGAGGCCGAAAGGCGUAGUCGAUGGAAAACAGGUUAAUAUUCCUGUACCGCUAUAUACUGCGAUGGGGGGACGGAGAAGGCUAGGUGAUCAGGGCGUUGGUUGUCCCUGUUCAAGCUUGUAGGGAGAUUUCUUAGGUAAAUCCGGGAAAUCGCUAUCCUGAGAAGUGAUGUCGAGCUCAAUUGCGAGCGAAGUCAUUGAUGCCAUGCUUCCAAGAAAAGCCUCUAAGCUUAAGGUGCAUAGCGACCGUACUCUAAACCGACACAGGUGAUCAGGUAGAGAAUACUAAGGCGCUUGAGAGAACUAUGGUGAAGGAACUAGGCAAAAUGGUGCCGUAACUUCGGGAGAAGGCACGCCAGUUUUGGUGAUAGAAUUUACUUCUUGAGCUGAGAUUGGUCGCAGAGACCAGGCCCCUGCGACUGUUUAUCUAAAACACAGCACUCUGCAAACUCGUAAGAGGACGUAUAGGGUGUGACGCCUGCCCGGUGCCGGAAGGUUAAUUGAUGGGGUUAGCUUCGGCGAAGCUCUUGAUCGAAGCCCCGGUAAACGGCGGCCGUAACUAUAACGGUCCUAAGGUA